GNNCUCUUAGCUUUGUUCCUCCGGAGGUACUCUCCCACCCUUUGUGAACGUACCUCUGUUGCUUUGGCGGCUCCGGCCGCCAAAGGACCUUCAAACUCCAGUCAGUAAACGCAGACUCUGAUAAACAAGUUAAUAAACUAAAACUUUCAACAACGGAUCUCUUGGUUCUGGCAUCGAUGAAGAACGCAGCGAAAUGCGAUAAGUAAUGUGAAUUGCAGAAUUCAGUGAAUCAUCGAAUCUUUGAACGCACAUUGCGCCCCUUGGUAUUCCGGGGGGCAUGCCUGUUCGAGCGUCAUUACAACCCUCAAGCUCUGCUUGGAAUUGGGCACCGUCCUCACUGCGGACGCGCCUCAAAGACCUCGGCGGUGGCUGUUCAGCCCUCAAGCGUAGUAGAAUACACCUCGCUUUGGAGCGGUUGGCGUCGCCCGCCGGACGAACCUUCUGAACUUUUCUCAAGGUUGACCUCGGAUCAGGUAGGGAUACCCGCUGAACUUAAGCAUAUCAAUAAGGCGGAGGAA
RNAcentral lists this ribosomal RNA (518 nucleotides) under Lasiodiplodia sp. 4CMBANEY. RNAcentral's name for it is "eukaryotic LSU rRNA". The stretch from base 142 to 295 matches the Rfam family "5.8S ribosomal RNA". The record is from RNAcentral. Lineage: Eukaryota; Fungi; Ascomycota; Dothideomycetes; Botryosphaeriales; Botryosphaeriaceae.